This 253-nucleotide ribosomal RNA is filed under the name uncultured bacterium. Its description in RNAcentral is "partial 16S ribosomal RNA". It matches the Rfam family "Bacterial small subunit ribosomal RNA", at positions 524 to 776 of the family's 1533-position model. The record is from RNAcentral.
UACGAAGGGGGCUAGCGUUGCUCGGAAUCACUGGGCGUAAAGGGUGCGUAGGCGGGUCUUUAAGUCAGGGGGGAAAUCCUGGAGCUCAACUCCAGAACUGCCUUUGAUACUGGCGAUCUCGAGUCCGGGAGAGGUGAGUGGAACUGCGAGUGUAGAGGUGAAAUUCGUAGAUAUUCGCAAGAACACCAGUGGCGAAGGCGGCUCACUGGCCCGGUACUGACGCUGAGGUGCGAAAGCGUGGGGAGCAAACAGG